UAUUUAAUGGCCGCGGUAUUUUGACCGUGCGAAGGUAGCAUAAUCAUUAGCCUAUUUAUUGUGGGAUAGUAUGAAUGGUUUGACGAAAUAUUAACUGUCUCAUAUUAAUUAUUUAAAAUUUAAUUUUUGAGUUAAAAAGCUUAAUUUUUUUUAUAGGACGAGAAGACCCUAUAGAUCUUUAUUAUUUAUAUUUUUAUAUUUUUUAGUUUAUUUUUAUUAUUCUUUUAUUUAUUAUUUUGUUGGGGCGAUGUUAGGAUAUAUUUAACUCCUUUUUUUUUUAUCAUUUAUUUUUGUUUUUUUGAUCUUUUAUUAUUGCUUAUAANAACAAGAUACCUUAGGGAUAACAGCGUAAUUCUCUUUAAGAGUUCAUAUUGACAAUGGAGUUUGCGACCUCGAUGUUGAAUUAGGAUUAUUUUUAGGUGAAGUAGCUUAAUUAUUAAGUCUGUUCGACUUUUAAUAUCUUACAUGAUCUGAGUUCAAA
Molecule: ribosomal RNA, 481 nt
Filed under: Cryptophyllium chrisangi
Lineage: Eukaryota; Metazoa; Arthropoda; Insecta; Phasmatodea; Phylliidae
Description: partial large subunit ribosomal RNA
Rfam family: Bacterial large subunit ribosomal RNA (bases 340-481)
Source: RNAcentral